Transfer RNA from Talaromyces islandicus, 73 nucleotides. It matches the Rfam family "tRNA". From Rfam's summary of the family: Transfer RNA (tRNA) molecules are approximately 80 nucleotides in length. Their secondary structure includes four short double-helical elements and three loops (D, anti-codon, and T loops). The record is from Rfam. NCBI's taxonomy places the organism in Eukaryota, Fungi, Ascomycota, Eurotiomycetes, Eurotiales, Trichocomaceae.
GCCUGGCUAACUCAAUUGGCAGAGUGUCAGACUUUUAAUCUGAAAGUUCGGGGUUCGACCCCCCGGUCGGGCG